This 113-nucleotide ribosomal RNA is filed under the name Fusarium oxysporum. RNAcentral's name for it is "partial large subunit ribosomal RNA". Lineage: Eukaryota; Fungi; Ascomycota; Sordariomycetes; Hypocreales; Nectriaceae. The record is from RNAcentral.
AAGCGUUUAUGACCAGACUUGGGCUUGGUUAAUCAUCUGGGGUUCUCCCCAGUGCACUUUUCCAGUCCAGGCCAGCAUCAGUUUUCCCCGGGGGAUAAAGGCGGCGGGAAUGU